Molecule: ribosomal RNA, 393 nt
Filed under: uncultured bacterium
Lineage: Bacteria
Description: partial 16S ribosomal RNA
Rfam family: Bacterial small subunit ribosomal RNA
Source: RNAcentral
AUACGGAGGAUCCGAGCGUUAUCCGGAUUUAUUGGGUUUAAAGGGAGCGUAGGUGGACAGUUAAGUCAGUUGUGAAAGUUUGCGGCUCAACCGUAAAAUUGCAGUUGAUACUGGCUGUCUUGAGUACAGUAGAGGUGGGCGGAAUUCGUGGUGUAGCGGUGAAAUGCUUAGAUAUCACGAAGAACUCCGAUUGCGAAGGCAGCUCACUGGACUGCAACUGACACUGAUGCUCGAAAGUGUGGGUAUCAAACAGGAUUAGAUACCCUGGUAGUCCACACAGUAAACGAUGAAUACUCGCUGUUUGCGAUAUACAGUAAGCGGCCGAGCGAAAGCAUUAAGUAUUCCACCUGGGGAGUACGCCGGCAACGGUGAAACUCAAAGGAAUUGACGGGG